RNAcentral lists this ribosomal RNA (750 nucleotides) under uncultured bacterium. RNAcentral's name for it is "bacterial SSU rRNA". It matches the Rfam family "Bacterial small subunit ribosomal RNA", at positions 74 to 810 of the family's 1533-position model. The record is from RNAcentral.
UUGACGAUGGAUCACCAGUGAGUGGCGGACGGGUGAGUAACACGUAGGUAACCUGCCCCGGAGCGGGGGAUAACAUUUGGAAACAGAUGCUAAUACCGCAUAACAACAAAAGCCACAUGGCUUUUGUUUGAAAGAUGGCUUUGGCUAUCACUCUGGGAUGGACCUGCGGUGCAUUAGCUAGUUGGUAAGGUAACGGCUUACCAAGGCGAUGAUGCAUAGCCGAGUUGAGAGACUGAUCGGCCACAAUGGAACUGAGACACGGUCCAUACUCCUACGGGAGGCAGCAGUAGGGAAUCUUCCACAAUGGGCGCAAGCCUGAUGGAGCAACACCGCGUGAGUGAAGAAGGGUUUCGGCUCGUAAAGCUCUGUUGUUGGAGAAGAACGUGCGUGAGAGUAACUGUUCACGCAGUGACGGUAUCCAACCAGAAAGUCACGGCUAACUACGUGCCAGCAGCCGCGGUAAUACGUAGGUGGCAAGCGUUAUCCGGAUUUAUUGGGCGUAAAGCGAGCGCAGGCGGUUGCUUAGGUCUGAUGUGAGAGCCUUCGGCUUAACCGAAGAAGUGCAUCGGAAACCGGGCAACUUGAGUGCAGAAGAGGACAGUGGAACUCCAUGUGUAGCGGUGGAAUGCGUAGAUAUAUGGAAGAACACCAGUGGCGAAGGCGGCUGUCUGGUCUGCAACUGACGCUGAGGCUCGAAAGCAUGGGUAGCGAACAGGAUUAGAUACCCUGGUAGUCCAUGCCGUAAACGAU